Molecule: long non-coding RNA, 239 nt
Filed under: Lathyrus oleraceus (garden pea)
Lineage: Eukaryota; Viridiplantae; Streptophyta; Magnoliopsida; Fabales; Fabaceae
Description: Pisum sativum (pea) long non-coding RNA (PSAT_LNC034114)
Source: RNAcentral
UCAAGUGGUGGAGGCUUGAAGUUCAUCAGAACAUGGUUCAAUCAGCCAAAACCCUAGCAAAGUCAACUGUGGUCAACUGUGCAUUUAAUCAGGGAUUUGAUGGUGGGAAAUGGUUUGAGAGGUCUUAUUCAUGUCCAUACAAGCCUAAUAUAACAUGUCAAACAUCAUCAUUGAAGAAUUGGAGGUCAGACAAAGUUUCCCAAAAUAGCAAGGACCUGUAAUUUUCAACUACCAAAAAU